UCGUCGUAUUAAGUAAUGCCGAUUUGCCGGAAUCCAAUCUACCUUUAUAGACAGAUCAUCAUCAGGUUGAUACAUCCCGUUGGAGAGAUGCUGCGGCAUCAACGAUGCACCGGCAAUCGAGGAUCUAGCUCACGCUUCCGAAGCUGUUUCGCGGUGAUUCGUUCUGCAAACAGAUCGUCAAAGUGUUUAAAGAAAAAACCAGAAGAAGCUGUUUUGUGCUGAUUCUUGCUGCAUACAGAUCGUCCACAUGUCUAAACAACAGUCAGAAGAAGCUGUUUCGUGCUGAUUCUUGCUGCACACGGAUCAUCAACGUGGUUUCAUAGAACAGUCAGAAGAUGUGCGGGUUUCUGUUCUUCGAUCUACAAGUACGUACCGAGUGAAACUGCACGAGCGACAGCUGUUAUCGAUUGCUACAGUGACGUCACCAUGCCCAUGCGAAAGGCUAUGCAUUUUACAGAAAGACUUGAUCAGACUAAAUAAUAUAUUUUUUGUGAAGUUUAUCUAAAAGCCAGUUUUGAAUAUGUAUUUAGUUUUUUUUUAACACUGAAUGAGGAAUGAUUGUAUUCAAAAUAAAACUUCCUUACAGGUUUUUUCGCGAUAAAUUUGUUUAAUUAUUAAUCUAAAUUAAAACUUAAAUUUAUCCCGAAGAAAUGCGUAAAGUAGUUUUAUUUCAUUUCAUGACGAGUUGAGCUAACCGAUCGUGGCUAGAACUCAGCCCUAAUGAUUUUUUUACUGAAGACAGCACUUAUCACCGUGUAGACAUAAGUGUUGUGCAGAAAUAAUUUGCAAAUGUGUGCUACAUUCAAAGUUCUAUAGAAUAUCUUCCGUCACUAACAUAUAUAACCAGUAAUUAAAAUCUUACAUUGGUCUCAAUGACAGUAGCAGCACAAUGCUGGGUUAAAUAAGUGUCUGGCUUAAUUAUGAUCUAUUAAAACUUAAUAAAUAAAAUAUGCGUGUGCUUUUUGGAAUGCAUUUUGUUAAAUCAUGAAUUACAAAUCUAUCAAAUACAUUUUGAUAUUGCGUUAAUAAAUUUAACCACAUACUCGUCACUUCCGCUAAUAUUGUGUCAAAAUCAUCCAUGAAUAAUGAAGCACCAAAACUCCCAGUGUUAUGACUUUCUGAUUUUUUAAUAAUUUUAAAUAUGAGGUGUACGUUAAUGUAUUUCUGACUAUAAAUGUGACGUUGUUGCUACGAUGAGUUCUCUUAGAGCAGUAGUAGUGGCGACUAAGGCGCGUAAAAUAAGUUGCUUUUUAUUAAUGUUUAUUUGGUUUUAAAUUUACAUCUAUGAUUCAAAUUACUUAUUGUAAAGUGUUAAUUUGCAAAAGAUCAGUAUGCCGUUUAAUUUAUAAAGCGAUUUCAAAAUAACCCUGAAUAAUACAGCCAAACACAACAAUAAGAAACUCGUGAACUGGUUUUUAUUUAUAUUCGAUGUACUAUUGUACAUAUUUAUGAAGGUGCCUGCUGAUAAUUGAUUUUGGAUCAUGUUAAUAAGAUAAAAAUAUAGGCAUGCACAUCUUUGAAGUGUAAUACUAUAAGUUGGAAGUCAAUUGUUUUUUAAAAUAAAUAUAUUUCAUAGUGCAGAAUAAACCAUAUUGAAAUUUUAAUAAUUACAAGUAUAUCUUUUCUAUUCGGUUCAUGUUAUUUUAACUGCAGUGUAAUUACCUAAUUUACUAGAUAUUUUUUUAAAAAUAAUUGAAUUGAAUACCUGAAAUCGUGGUUUGGCAAAAUGAUUUCACUGUUAUUAUUACGAAUAUAAGACCCAACGUCGCUUAACUACCGUAUUGCUGCUAACUGCGACUUUUUGCGUCUUUGUGUAUGCCCAGCGAUAUAAUAAUUUAUUUGUACUAGUAUUAUGUAGCUAUGGACCCUUGCUAGCUAUGUAAGUAAACACAUAUAAAAUGCUUUGCAAAAGAACGGACACCAAAAGAAGUUUAUUUCAAUGCCGAUUGCAAUUGAUUAAAUUGAAUAUAAAUGUUUGAUGUAGUUUGUAUGUUUACUUAUAAUCUUGUAAAUUGAUAUAUUAUGCGUGAAGUUAAAUCUGGCAUUUUUUUCAUACAUUUUCGAUGAAUUCAACAGAAUAAAAGUAAACUGAAUAAUAAGUAGUUAGCUCAACAAAACAAAGACAAAAUUAUUUUAUUUAGAUUAUUUUUUAAUAAAAACGUUAUAAAUCUAUACUCCUAAUAAAUAGAGUGACCUUUCGUUAAAAUCACAACUUGCAUCCUUCUGGGAAUACUUUCCACGAUAUUUUUACCAACGUCUUGUGGAGUACGUUCCCAACUCUACUGCGAUUAAUCUUUUAAGCUCCUUGAUGUUUUCGUGGAACAGAUUACACUUUAGAACAUGUGAGACAUGCUCAAUCGGUUUGAAGUCAGAACUUCGAGCUCGCUAAUCCAAACGACAGAUCCCAAAUUCUAGCAUAUACAAUUCUACGUCGCCAGUGCGGCAAGCUCGAGCAUGGUCUUCCAGAAAACUGUCUUUGCUCCAAGAGCUGUUAAUGCAGGUCAUUGAUAUAGAAUAAGGACUUCCAUGAUGUACUGCAGUGCAUUUAGUAUUCAGCUUUUUUUGAAAAUUAACUCCUUAUGAUCCGUUGAAUUAAUUGCUGCCUAAAACGUAAUUGAGCCUCCUUUGUAAAGAGUGAUUUCUUCGAAAAACACUUGCAUAGGAUUCUUCUGAUUUUCGCAGCAUUCUCCGGCGUCGGCCCUCAACAUACAAAAAUACCUUAGCUUCAUCGGAAAACAAUACUUUAUUCUAGUUCUCUAAAGUCAAGCUAAUUUCUACUCCUCUUACUUCUUUAACUGGGGGUAGUAUAUCUAUCAAAAAUCUGCACAAACAUGCCUAACAAUGUAAUAGGCGGUAUAUUUUUUGGUUCUGUCUAUUGCAUAAAAAGGACGCACAUGAGAGCCAGUCAUAUCAUACGAUAGGUCAGCACUCAGAAAAAUGUUCGCUGUAGAACAGAGGUUCUUAAAGUAUUUGUUGUCACGCCACGCUGUUGCGUAAAAUAGAAAUGCCCACGCCUCCUCUUCUCUUCAAUGCAAAGAAGAGAAAGACAGGGAGCUAACAUUCUUCAUGCCUUUGGUAUUCUAACUGAUGAUCCUGAAAAUUUGUAUAUGUAUACGUUGUCACGGGUUCAAAUAGUACCUUUCAUCCGAUACACAUAUUUCAACGAUAGUUAGUAUAGUAUAUAUUAUAUAGUUAGUAUAGUAGAUAGAUAGUGGAAACCACUAUGACUUACACGAUUAUUAGAUGUACCAAGUCCUCAAAUGAUUAAGCUUGAGAUACCCAUCCAUUCUUUCUUAGAUUCUUCCUUAGAUUAUCGUACUUUUUUUAGAUGACUAAAACCGCAUAAUUUAAUAGUAAUAUAAUUCGGAACGAAUUCUAGAAAUGAU
RNAcentral lists this long non-coding RNA (3386 nucleotides) under Manduca sexta (tobacco hornworm). RNAcentral describes it as "uncharacterized LOC115451165". The record is from RNAcentral. Lineage: Eukaryota; Metazoa; Arthropoda; Insecta; Lepidoptera; Sphingidae.